UCCGGCCGGGAACUCAAAGGAGACUGCCAGUGAUAAACUGGAGGAAGGUGGGGAUGACGUCAAGUCAUCAUGGCCCUUACGACCAGGGCUACACACGUGCUACAAUGGCGCAUACAAAGAGAAGCGACCUCGCGAGAGCAAGCGGACCUCAUAAAGUGCGUCGUAGUCCGGAUUGGAGUCUGCAACUCGACUCCAUGAAGUCGGAAUCGCUAGUAAUCGUGGAUCAGAAUGCCACGGUGAAUACGUUCCCGGGCCUUGUACACACCGCCCGUCACACCAUGGGAGUGGGUUGCAAAAGAAGUAGGUAGCUUAACCUUCGGGAGGGCGCUUACCACUUUGUGAUUCAUGACUGGGGUGAAGUCGUAACAAGGUAACCGUAGGGGAACCUGCGGUUGGAUCACCUCCUUACCUUAAAGAA
RNAcentral lists this ribosomal RNA (418 nucleotides) under Escherichia coli. RNAcentral describes it as "partial 16S ribosomal RNA". It matches the Rfam family "Bacterial small subunit ribosomal RNA", at positions 1126 to 1533 of the family's 1533-position model. Lineage: Bacteria; Pseudomonadati; Pseudomonadota; Gammaproteobacteria; Enterobacterales; Enterobacteriaceae. RNAcentral also lists the same sequence under 8 other names. The record is from RNAcentral.